UCGUGUCGUGAGAUGUUGGUUAAGGUACCGCAACGAGCGCAACCCUCGCCCUUAGUUACCAGCACGUUAUGGUGGGCACUCUAAGGAGACUGCCGGUGACAAACCGGAGGAAGGUGGGGAUGACGUCAAGUCAUCAUGGCCCUUACGGCCUGGGCUACACACGUGCUACAAUGGUCGGUACAAAGGGUUGCCAAGCCGCGAGGUGGAGCUAAUCCCAUAAAACCGAUCGUAGUCCGGAUCGCAGUCUGCAACUCGACUGCGUGAAGUCGGAAUCGCUAGUAAUCGUGAAUCAGAAUGUCACGGUGAAUACGUUCCCGGGCCUU
Molecule: ribosomal RNA, 323 nt
Filed under: uncultured Pseudomonadaceae bacterium
Lineage: Bacteria; Pseudomonadati; Pseudomonadota; Gammaproteobacteria; Pseudomonadales; Pseudomonadaceae
Description: bacterial SSU rRNA
Rfam family: Bacterial small subunit ribosomal RNA
Source: RNAcentral